CGAUAAAGUUCUCAAAAGGGUCAGGUUUGGCCAUGGAAACCCCUUGCAAGCACUUGAGUUCUUUAAAUUCACUGCCAACAGAAAAGGGUUUUAUCACACUUCGUAUUCGUUAGAUACCAUGCUUUAUAUAUUAGGUAGGGGCCGUCAAUUUGAUCUUAUUUGGGAUGUUUUGAUUAAAAUGAAGAGGAAAGACCUGUCUUUGAUUUCCUCACGGACUAUGCAAGUGGUUUUGGGUAGAGUCGCUAAGCUAUGCUCUGUUAGGCAAACUGUGGAAUCUUUUAGAAGGUUCAAGAAGUUGGUUUCUGUGUUUGAUACGGUUUGUUUCAAUGCACUGUUGAGGACUUUGUGUCAAGAGAAGAGUAUGGCUGAUGCUAGAAAUGUGUAUCACACAUUGAAGAAAGAAUUUAGGCCUAAUUUGCAGACUUUUAAUAUACUUCUAUCAGGUUGGAAAUCAUCAGAGGAAGCGGAGUCAUUCUUUGAGGAAAUGAAGGAAUUGGGUAUCAAACCUGAUGUUGUCUCGUAUAAUUCUUUGAUUGAUGUGUAUUGUAAGGGCAGGGAGAUGGAGAAGGCCUACAAGGUGGUUGAGAAGAUGAGAG
Molecule: unclassified non-coding RNA, 596 nt
Filed under: Hevea brasiliensis (rubber tree)
Lineage: Eukaryota; Viridiplantae; Streptophyta; Magnoliopsida; Malpighiales; Euphorbiaceae
Source: RNAcentral